This 777-nucleotide ribosomal RNA is filed under the name uncultured Neocallimastigales. RNAcentral's name for it is "partial large subunit ribosomal RNA". The stretch from base 5 to 696 matches the Rfam family "Eukaryotic large subunit ribosomal RNA", at positions 24 to 664 of the family's 3401-position model. Lineage: Eukaryota; Fungi; Neocallimastigomycota; Neocallimastigomycetes; Neocallimastigales. The record is from RNAcentral.
UAUAUCAGUCAUGCAUAGCAUAUCAAUAAGCGGAGGAAAAGAAACUAACAAGGAUUCCCUUAGUAACGGCGAGUGAAGCGGGAAGAGCUCAAAUUUGAAAUCUUCAAGGUUUUACCUUGACGAAUUGUAGUUUAAAGAAGUGUUUUCUGUUGGAGUUUUGGUAAAAGUUCUUUGGAAUAGGACAUCAUAGAGGGUGAGAAUCCCGUAUUUGACCAUUACUUUCCAGCUGUGUGAUACACUUUCAAAGAGUCGGAUUGUUUGGGAAUGCAGUCCAAAAUGGGUGGUAAAUUUCAUCUAAAGCUAAAUAUUGGCGAGAGACCGAUAGCGAACAAGUACCGUGAGGGAAAGAUGAAAAGAACUUUGAAAAGAGAGUUAAACAGUACGUGAAAUUGUCAAAAGGGAAGCGUUUGACACCAGUGUUGUUUUCUCGAAAAUCAAUUAAAAAUGGAUGGAUUUUGUGUUGUAUUGACUUUAUCAGGCUUUCUGCACUUUUUUCUUAUCUUUUUUAAUGCACUUUUCGUUUAACAAGUCAACAUCAAUUUCUUUUGUUGUAAAAGAGUCAUUGGAAGGUAGCUUUUUCUUCGGAAAAAGUGUUUAUAGCCUUUGGCUUCUGCAAUCGGAGAGAUUGAGGUCUGCAGCGUAGAUCCUUCGGGGUUAGAUACAUUUGUGCUAAGCUAUAGUUCUUUAUAGACAACUUGUUGACUAUAAUCAAUCCUGUAACUUACUCGCUUAUGCUAUUUUACCUACGCUUAGGAUGUUGAUGUGAUACUGCGAGCA